RNAcentral lists this ribosomal RNA (1161 nucleotides) under Triticum aestivum (bread wheat). RNAcentral's name for it is "partial small subunit ribosomal RNA". The record is from RNAcentral. Lineage: Eukaryota; Viridiplantae; Streptophyta; Magnoliopsida; Poales; Poaceae.
ACCCUGGACGAUGAUGUGGUAACGGAGAUCCUCCUCAGGCUACCGUGUACCUCUGUGCUCCGCUCCCGGGCCGUCUGCAAGGCGUGGCACCGCAUCACCACCGACCCCUCGUUCCUCGCAGCCCACGCCGAGCGGCGCCCAGCCGAGCUGCUCGUCGUGUCACGAGAACCUGAAUCUGAAUGGGCUUACCAAGAUCGUGUCGACACAAUCCCGCUCUCUCUCCGAGCCGACGACGGCCCGGCGGGGUGCCAGCGUGAGCUCUAUUAUCCCGAGCAUUGUGAUGUUCACUUGCUGGUGGGUUGCUGCGAUGGGCUCCUGCUGUUCCUGCUGGACAGAUUCCCUCCAGGCCAGUGCUGCUCCUAUUUCUUCGUGUGCAACCCGGUGACCAGGCAGGGGACAUGGCUAGACCUGAUGCCGCCGGCUUGCCACGGCAACCUGCGGGUGCUCUGCGGCUUCUACCGCCACGGCCCGUCCGUCGAGCACCGGUUUCUCGUCCUGGCCAAUGAACCACGAAGCCCGAAUAGCCUGAUGACCAACAUGGACCUCUUCACUGGCUCCGCCGCGCACUAUGUUUUCAAUUUUGCAGCCGCCACCGUGUCCUCAGAGGCUCCUCGCCGGCUGGGACCGGUGCCCGGAAACGUAGUCGUCAACCCCUACGGCUCCGAGAACCAGGUCCCCAGCCACCUCUACCAUCGGGGGAAGCUUCACUGGACGACGCAUCCUCAGGCCACGAGCAUGGGCAAGAUCUUGGCGUUCGACACACUGUCCGAGGAAUUCCGGCUAAUAUCGUGCCCGGAGUGGCCAAGGGGCCAAUACUCCUACCUGAACGACCUCUGCCUCAUGGAGUUGCACGGCAGGCUAGCCAUAACAACCACUCUACUCUGUGGCGAGUUCAUGGAGGUCUGGGUGCUCGAGAACUACGACGACGACCGGAGCUGGUCACACCGUUUCCGGAUCCAACUGCCGCCGCCGUUCUGUGUACGUUGGACGAUGGGCACCGGUAUCCCUAACGUCAUUCUGGUGGGAGGCUACAUGGAAAAAUUAGCUGCGGUAUACCAUCUUACCGACAAGUGGAGCGUAGAGAAGAUAGGGUUUAUCAACAGCAACACAUCGGCUCGUCACUUUCUCUUCAAGGAGAGCCUUGCGCCACACCCCUUUUUU